Molecule: small RNA, 97 nt
Filed under: Deinococcus gobiensis I-0
Lineage: Bacteria; Thermotogati; Deinococcota; Deinococci; Deinococcales; Deinococcaceae
Description: hypothetical noncoding RNA
Source: RNAcentral
CCCGCCUGUCCGGGUGCCGGGUGCUCGGCCAUGCGUGUCGGGGCGGCUGUCACACCCCAGUCCGGUCAUCCGGGUCGCCGCGCUCCCUCGCCUGUUC